This 233-nucleotide long non-coding RNA is filed under the name Setaria italica (foxtail millet). RNAcentral describes it as "long non-coding RNA (SITA_LNC001412)". Lineage: Eukaryota; Viridiplantae; Streptophyta; Magnoliopsida; Poales; Poaceae. The record is from RNAcentral.
UGUUCGAGUGGAUGGAGAGUGUAAAUUUUAGAGAGAAACCUAGCUAUUGGGAUUUGGAGAGUGGAAAAUGGAUAGUCUGUUGGAAUGAGCAACUUAAUAUGGAGAGAAAUUUUUUGGCAACUUGACUAGGGAGUCAAAUGGAGAACUAAAAAUGGAUAGUCUGUUGGAGUUGCUCGAAGCUCACUUUCUAGUUCGUGAGGUUAAGGGCUCGCUUGGCUUGAAGGAUUUUCAAA